This 499-nucleotide ribosomal RNA is filed under the name Clostridioides difficile. Its description in RNAcentral is "bacterial SSU rRNA". It matches the Rfam family "Bacterial small subunit ribosomal RNA", at positions 1040 to 1533 of the family's 1533-position model. Lineage: Bacteria; Bacillati; Bacillota; Clostridia; Peptostreptococcales; Peptostreptococcaceae. The record is from RNAcentral.
GGUGCAUGGUUGUCGUCAGCCCGUGUCGUGAGAUGUUGGGUUAAGUCCCGCAACGAGCGCAACCCUUGUGUGUAGUGGCCAUCAUUAAGUUGGGCACUCUAGAGAGACUGCCAGGGAUAACCUGGAGGAAGGUGGGGAUGACGUCAAAUCAUCAUGCCCCUUAUGCUUAGGGCUACACACGUGCUACAAUGGGUAGUACAGAGGGUUGCCAAGCCGUAAGGUGGAGCUAAUCCCUUAAAGCUACUCUCAGUUCGGAUUGUAGGCUGAAACUCGCCUACAUGAAGCUGGAGUUACUAGUAAUCGCAGAUCAGAAUGCUGCGGUGAAUGCGUUCCCGGGUCUUGUACACACCGCCCGUCACACCACGGGAGUUGGAGACGCCCGAAGCCGAUUAUCUAACCUUUUGGAAGAAGUCGUCGAAGGUGGAAUCAAUAACUGGGGUGAAGUCGUAACAAGGUAGCCGUAUCGGAAGGUGCGGCUGGAUCACCUCCUUUCUAAGGA